GCGGUGGAGUAUGUGGUUAAUUCGAUGCAACGCGAAGAACCUUACCUGGUCUUGACAUCCCGGAGACCCUUAGGAAACUAGGGGGUGCUUCCAUCUGGAAGAAUCUGGAGACAGGUGCUGCAUGGCUGUCGUCAGCUCGUGUCGUGAGAUGUUGGGUUAAGUCCCGCAACGAGCGCAACCCUUGCCUUUAGUUGCCAGCAGUUCGGCUGGGCACUCUAAAGGGACUGCCGGUGUUAAACCGGAGGAAGGUGGGGAUGACGUCAAGUCCUCAUGGCCUUUAUGACCAGGGCUACACACGUACUACAAUGGCCGAUACAAAGGGCAGCGACACUGCGAGGUGAAGCCAAUCCCGUAAAAUCGGUCUCAGUCCGGAUUGGAGUCUGCAACUCGACUCCAUGAAGUUGGAAUCGCUAGUAAUCGUGGAUCAGCAUGCCACGGUGAAUACGUUCCCGGGCCUU
This 458-nucleotide ribosomal RNA is filed under the name uncultured Desulfobulbus sp. RNAcentral describes it as "bacterial SSU rRNA". It matches the Rfam family "Bacterial small subunit ribosomal RNA", at positions 929 to 1382 of the family's 1533-position model. The record is from RNAcentral. Lineage: Bacteria; Pseudomonadati; Thermodesulfobacteriota; Desulfobulbia; Desulfobulbales; Desulfobulbaceae.